UUGAGAUCCAGCGACUCAUCAAGCUUGUCCUAAACCAUUGUUGAUGAGGGAUAGAAAUAACAAUUGGGCGAUAACUGUCGGCGCUAAGCGGGGCUCAUAACCUAUUGAAGAAUUGGCGACGGUGAUGGGUAACGCUGAUUGUUAUUUCGGAAGGAUUGCCGGUGGCGAAGAUAUUUAGCACGAUAAACUGUUACAAGUAAUGUAAAGAGUAUUGUUAGCGUUCGGCAGGACUUGAGGAGAUUCCUGGUUGGAAUACCGAUCGUUGUGAGAUAAACUAAUAGGCGCAGUCACCGCCCUAAAUACCGGCGCUAGCGGAAAACUCGUACAUUCCGCGAUCUAACUGCACGUACAUUCCGCGAUCUCACUGCGCCGUCCAGACGGUGCCCUAAUGUCUAUCACUUAGCUACCGGAUAUGCAUCGGUAGCCCCAUAAGGUUCUGGGGUAAGUCUUCCCCAUUAGUCAGGCGCAGACCCCCCUGGUCGACAACCACACGAGUUGGGAGAGGACCGUUUCCUCAACACGCCCCCUCGGGCCAUAUCCCAACGAGUACCAAGUUCAUCUGCACACUUCACACUAGGCCCAUAGCAUCUCGGCAACGUUUGAACUUCACCUCGCCCAGAGCCUUCGUUAGCACAUCCGC
Molecule: long non-coding RNA, 640 nt
Filed under: Volvox carteri
Lineage: Eukaryota; Viridiplantae; Chlorophyta; Chlorophyceae; Chlamydomonadales; Volvocaceae
Description: long non-coding RNA (VCAR_LNC003654)
Source: RNAcentral